AGAAAACCCAUACCUUGUAAGAAU
This 24-nucleotide non-coding RNA is filed under the name Rattus norvegicus (Norway rat). Lineage: Eukaryota; Metazoa; Chordata; Mammalia; Rodentia; Muridae. The record is from RNAcentral.